Molecule: unclassified non-coding RNA, 2011 nt
Filed under: Haliotis rubra (blacklip abalone)
Lineage: Eukaryota; Metazoa; Mollusca; Gastropoda; Lepetellida; Haliotidae
Description: uncharacterized LOC124267175, transcript variant X2
Source: RNAcentral
AAAUAGCUCAGGUUCCGAAGAAAGCCAAAUUCGUGGGUCAGUGUUGAUACACUGGACUUGUAAGAGCUGGUCAAUCAGGGUAUCUCGAGAAUGGCAGAUCCAACACUUGACGCCCUGGUGAAUAGCGUGUCCACUCACCUUGAACCACGGGAGGUAAUGGAUUACUUAUAUCAGGAACAUGCACUCAGCGAGGAGGACAUGGAUUUGGUCAAUGUGAAGGUCACACGUAAAGAUAGAUGUCGUAAGCUGGUGGAGAGGCUGGUUAAUAGGGAUGACAAGGUCAAGGCCUUGGAAACAUUCGUAGACAGUUUGAAGUCGGAUUAUAGUUUCUUGGUGUCAUCGAUUGCUAUUUGCGUCAAAUCUGUUAUUACAUCAAUCCAAGAGAGUGUUGCCAUUCAAACACGUUCAGGGGAAUGCUUAGUGAGUGUACCCGUCCCAUAUACUUCCACCGAUUCGGACGCAGAAAACCGUUUAACCAAAAGACAACAAGCUAGAACAAAGGGAAUCAUUGCGCGUCCCUUGUCGCAAUCUGGAGUAACAUUGGAUAGGAGAGUUCAUCGAGUAUUCAACAUCCUGAGUAACCCCCUCAACAAGGGAGACUACUCGCAAUUUCGCGACAAUUCCCAAAAACUUAUGUCGUGUUGUCGAUGUCCUGCCGACGUGCGGUUCACGGUCUUUUACCUGCAGUGCUGUGAAGCCCUGUUUCAGAACGACCUCAGUCGAACUAAAGUGUUGUGCGAAGAAGCAUCGAAGCUGUUACAACACACCAGCAACCCGCUCGGAUUCUCUGUAGACAUUCUGUCUAAAAAGGCGUGGAGAUAUUUCAAACUUAAUAAACUGAGUAAGUUAGAGAGUUGUCUUCGAGACGCCAUGCAGCUGAUUCACCAGGACCCUCUAAGCUGCUCCGGAAAAGCGGCAGGGUGGAUAUAUGUGGAUCAUGCAAGACUGUUGACGUCUGUGCUCGCAGCUGCUAGUCCGCGUCGAAGUCACAAUCUUAGACAACAAGCGCUCCGCAGUUUGGAAGAAGCAAUAGAGCACUUCAAACGUGAAAACAGCAAUGAUGGACUCUUUGGGCAGUCUGUUGCCUUCGUUAAGUAUGCCUCGCUUCUCCUUCAAUGUGGUGAGAAUAUGCAGUUUUCUGGGAUGAACUUGACUCCGUCAAGUGUGGAUAAAGCCAAGGACGUUUUGCGGUUUGUUGAAGAAUCGGAACUUGGCGUCCCAGAGAUUCUUCGAGUGACAUACUAUACAGCAAUGUCGGACCUUCGUUACCGUCAACAGAACGUCCAGCGCGCUCUAGAGUACGCCACAGAUGCGUCGGAACUGUCGGGGAGGUUAGGCAUGAGCCAGGAGCAGAGACAUGCGGUCACAAGGGUGGACUUCUACCAAGCACAAAGAAGCAGAGGACAAGUAACCUUAGUUACUGCAGAUAUCGAGGCAAUGUGGGCAGAGAGUGCCAGAGAAACAGACACGGGCGGAACCUGUGUACGGGUCUUAGAAAAAGAUCAGAUCGGAUCAGGGAAGAGAAGUAAGGAAAGUAAGAAGAAUGCCAUUGUGUUGUGGUUGCGCUUCAUAGCACUACUUGUGUGCAUCAUAGUGGGGAUUGUGGCACCUAUGACGCUCACGUAAUGUACUGGAAUCCAUGACACCAGACUGACAUAUAUCAAGGGAGGUAACUCUGGGGGGCGCUUAGUUUACACAGGUGUAUCUUUGAAACUGUUCAGGGGUUUUACAUCUUACGCAAUAUUUCAGUAUUCAGUUUGUUGUUUUGCCGUGUAUAUCUAAUGGCACAUGGAUUGUUAGUUUAUAUAAUAUAAGUUUUGUUGUACCAUGUCAAUAUUGUUUUGAUGGUGUGUAUUGUUACAUGUCAACAUUUUCAGCUAAACGCUCUAUCUGCAUGUACAAUAUCAUUAAUGCUCUAAGGCCACAGUGUUAACACCGUCUGAUUUUUCAGUGGAUGGUGCAAUAUCGUUGUGUGCGCGUGUGUGUGUGUGUGUGUGUGUGUGUGUGUGAG